RNA transcript from Chenopodium quinoa (quinoa), 1818 nucleotides. RefSeq lists it as uncharacterized. NCBI's taxonomy places the organism in Eukaryota, Viridiplantae, Streptophyta, Magnoliopsida, Caryophyllales, Amaranthaceae. The record is from RefSeq and is a predicted model, not a curated record. The transcript is spliced from 4 exons.
UCUCUCGCAACUUCCCGCUAAAGCCACUCCACGUUCUCCAUUGAAGCGACUUCCGACAUUGCUAAGGAAAACAUUGCUGCUGGAAUUUUUGAACAUGAAACUGCAUAAAGUGCUGGUCGUAGUAAUUUCUGCGGCUGCAGUAUAUGGAAUUUGGAGGAGAUACCGUGCUAGGAAUAAGGUGAAUAAUCACGAGGUGAAUAGAACACACCCUUAAUUUGUUUUUGAAUUCGUAAUUCUAAUAGAGAUGCUACCUAUGUCCCAUGUAGAUUGAUCAUCUCAGUGAGAUUCCUGAUGGGGUUUUGUUACCUGUUCUGUCAUAUAUGUCAUUGUGUGAUGUUGCAAGAAUGUCAAUGUUAUCGAGAAAAUGGAGAAACUUGUGCUUAGACAUUCCGUCUCUUGAAUUGGAGUGGUAUGAAUUGUCUGAUGCGCCGAAUGACGGGACUCAUUCAUCUAUCUGUCAACAACGACCCUAUACAGAAAAAUAUGUGAAACGUGUGGAUCAGGUGUUACAUAACUACAGGGAUCAUAAGAAGUUCAAAUCCUUUAGUCUUGUGUGUUGCCUGGAAUUCAGUUUCGCUAAUGAAGUGAAUCGGUGGAUCAACUUUGUUGCUGCAAGCAAGGGUACUCUGCAGAGUCUCACCCUCUACUUUAUAUGUCGUCAAGAGGGUUUCAGGGGUCUUGUCUAUCCCGCUUACACUAAAUUGCAUGUUAUUAGUGGUUCCUUUCUUUCUCAGUUUUCGUGUUUGCAAGAUCUGCAUCUAGAUUCCUGCGUUCUGAACCUUGAGAAUAAUGAUUUGGUUUUAUCACGUUACUUAACUACCCUUGAUCUAUACAACGUUAAUGUACAAGGGGAAGUCACACAGUGGCAGGGCAUUCUAUCUUCCAAGUAAGUUGUAUAUUGACAAUAAUUUCAUUCGCUUGAGCUUCCUCAAGAUUGGACAGUGCUCAGAUUUGCAAGAAUUGGAACUUAGUGCUAGGAAAUUGAAGAAGUUUGAGUACUAUGGUGGUGAAGGUGAACAAGGUUUGACAUGGACUUUUAAAAACGUUUCAAGUUUGGAAAGUGUGCAUAUGUUUGUGAACUGCAGAACUGAAUAUGCUUUAGAAAGACUUGCAGUUAGCGCAAGCCCUAAGUAUCUAGGCCUCCGAGCAUACGAUCCUCUGAUAAGUAAACUACCUACUAGCCCACACUAUCUAUUUCACUCGGUCUUGAAACUGCGCAUCUCCUCGGUGUUUGGUGAUAGCAGGAUAGUGCUGGAUCUCCCCUGCCUUAUCAAAUCCUUUCCAGUAUAUAUUGGAAAAGCUUGAGAUAGAGUUUCCAAUAGAGCCUGGUGAUCAAAGCUGUGAGCUUCCGCCUGUGUUUCCACAACAAUUUGAAGGAGAUUAAAUUGUUUUGUUUCAAAUUAGUAUGGAUACCAUUUGCUACCUAUUUGUUGCAAAGUGCUUUGGUGUCGGAUCGUAUGGUUAUUACCAAAUCUUUUACUAGUGAGGGAGGCAUGCGACCCUGGGAAUAUAUCUAUAUCAAAAUCAUACCAUUCACUAGUACCGAGCAUCAAUUUAUUUUGAAUUCGUUCAGUGGAAAGGCAUCAUUAACUAAUGUGAAGUUUAUCUUUACAUGUAAUAUUCCUUAAUCUUGAUUAUUAUUAGCAACAAUUACGUUUCAACCCGUAACUAGGCCAGUGCAAUUGGUUUUGCAUUACUAUGAAAAUGAAUAAUGCAAAACCAUUGCAUAAGCUAAGAUAAACAAUUUGAAGAUAGGAUCAAUAUAUACUUGUAUAGUCGUAUAUCAUUAUGCAUAUACAAUUACUCUAUAUAAUUUAG